This 1435-nucleotide ribosomal RNA is filed under the name uncultured marine bacterium. RNAcentral's name for it is "bacterial SSU rRNA". It matches the Rfam family "Bacterial small subunit ribosomal RNA". The record is from RNAcentral.
GAGUUUGAUCAUGGCUCAGAACGUACGCUGGCGGCACGCCUAACACAUGCAAGUCGAACGAAGUAGCAAUACUUAGUGGCAGACGGGUGAGUAACAUGUAGGUAUCUGCCCUUUGGCCUGGAAUAACACGAGGAAACUUGUGCUAAUACCGGAUAAGUCUUUACGGAGAAAGCUUUAUGCACCAUUGGAUGAGCCUGCACUUGAUUAGUUUGUUGGUGGGGUAAUGGCCUACCAAGACUGUGAUCAAUAGCUGAUUUGAGAGGAUGAUCAGCCACAUUGGGACUGAGACACGGCCCAAACUCCUACGGGAGGCAGCAGUGGGGAAUCUUGCACAAUGGAGGAAACUCUGAUGCAGCGAUGCCGCGUGAGUGAAGAAGGCCCUUGGGUUGUAAAGCUCUUUCGUCGGGGAAGAAAAUGACUGUACCCGAAUAAGAAGGUCCGGCUAACUUCGUGCCAGCAGCCGCGGUAAUACGAAGGGACCUAGCGUAGUUCGGAAUUACUGGGCUUAAAGAGUUCGCAGGUGGUUGAAAAAGUUGGUGGUGAAAUCCCAGAGCUUAACUCUGGAACUGCCAUUAAAACUUUUCAGCUAGAGUAUGAUAGAGGAAAGCAGAAUUUCUAGUGUAGAGGUGAAAUUCGUAGAUAUUAGAAAGAAUACCAAUUGCGAAGGCAGCUUUCUGGAUCAUUACUGACACUGAGGAACGAAAGCAUGGGUAGCGAAGAGGAUUAGAUACCCUCGUAGUCCAUGCCGUAAACGAUGUGUGUUAGACGUUGGAAAUUUAUUUUCAGUGUCGCAGGGAAACCGAUAAACACACCGCCUGGGGAGUACGACCGCAAGGUUAAAACUCAAAUGAAUUGACGGGGACCCGCACAAGUAGUGGAGCAUGUGGUUUAAUUCGAAGAUACGCGCAGAACCUUACCAACACUUGACAUGUUCGUCGCGACUCUAAGAGAUUAGAGUUUUCGGUUCGGCCGGACGAAACACAGGUGCUGCAUGGCUGUCGUCAGCUCGUGUCGUGAGAUGUUGGGUUAAGUCCCGCAACGAGCGCAACCCUCACUUUUAGUUGCCAUCAUUAAGUUGGGCACUCUGAAAGAACUGCCAGUGAUAAGCUGGAGGAAGGUGGGGAUGACGUCAAGUCCUCAUGGCCCUUACGUGUUGGGCUACACACGUGCUACAAUGGUAUCUACAACAGGAAGCAAGACUGCGAAGUUAAGCAAAUCCCUAAAAGAUACCUCAGUUCGGAUUGCACUCUGCAACUCGAGUGCAUGAAGCUGGAAUUACUAGUAAUCGUGGAUCAGCGUGCCACGGUGAAUGCGUUCCCGGGUCUUGUACACACCGCCCGUCACACCAUGGGAGUUGGUUCUACCUUAAGGCAAGGUUUCAAACCCUUGACCACGGUAUAGUCAGCGACUGGGGUGAAGUCGUAACAAGGUAACC